GACGAACGCUGGCGGCGUGCUUAACACAUGCAAGUCGAACGGUGAAGCUCCAGCUUGCUGGAGUGGAUCAGUGGCGAACGGGUGAGUAACACGUGAGCAACCUGCCCCUGACUCUGGAAUAAGCGCUGGAAACGGCGUCUAAUACUGGAUACGAGAAGGGUCCGCAUGGGCACUUUCUGGAAAGUUUUUCGGUUGGGGAUGGGCUCGCGGCCUAUCAGCUUGUUGGUGAGGUAAUGGCUCACCAAGGCGACGACGGGUAGCCGGCCUGAGAGGGCGACCGGCCACAUGGGGAAAGAGAACCGCCCCAGCCUCCUGGGGGGGGAAGGGGGGGGAAAUUUUGACAAGGGGGCAAAGGCGUGAUGCGGCGCGGCGGGGUGGGGAAGGCCGCCUUGGGGUUGUAAAACCUCUUCCGGCGGGAAAGAAGAAAAGGUGGGGGUGCCUAAAGAAGGGGCCCGGGCUACUUCGGGG
This 468-nucleotide ribosomal RNA is filed under the name uncultured bacterium. RNAcentral's name for it is "partial 16S ribosomal RNA". It matches the Rfam family "Bacterial small subunit ribosomal RNA", at positions 28 to 507 of the family's 1533-position model. The record is from RNAcentral.